UGGGGAAUUUUGGACAAUGGGCGCAAGCCUGAUCCAGCCAUGCCGCGUGCGGGAAGAAGGCCUUCGGGUUGUAAACCGCUUUUGUCAGGGAAGAAAUCUUCUGAGUUAAUACCUCGGGAGGAUGACGGUACCUGAAGAAUAAGCACCGGCUAACUACGUGCCAGCAGCCGCGGUAAUACGUAGGGUGCAAGCGUUAAUCGGAAUUACUGGGCGUAAAGCGUGCGCAGGCGGUUUUGUAAGACAGAGGUGAAAUCCCCGGGCUCAACCUGGGAACUGCCUUUGUGACUGCAAGGCUUGAGUGCGGCAGAGGGGGGAUGGAAUUCCGCGUGUAGCAGUGAAAUGCGUAGAUAUGCGGAGGAACACCGAUGGCGAAGGCAAUCCCCUGGGCCUGCACUGACGCUCAUGCACGAAAGCGUGGGGAGCAAACAGGAUUAG
This 435-nucleotide ribosomal RNA is filed under the name uncultured bacterium. RNAcentral describes it as "partial 16S ribosomal RNA". It matches the Rfam family "Bacterial small subunit ribosomal RNA", at positions 355 to 781 of the family's 1533-position model. The record is from RNAcentral.